RNAcentral lists this ribosomal RNA (593 nucleotides) under Bogertophis subocularis. RNAcentral describes it as "partial 12S ribosomal RNA". The record is from RNAcentral. Lineage: Eukaryota; Metazoa; Chordata; Lepidosauria; Squamata; Colubridae.
AUAAUACUAACGGCGUAAAGCACGACUAAUAUACACGUCUAAAUAUUUAGGAAAGAAACUAAGCUGGGCCGUAAAAAGCCAUAAGCCACACUAACUACACCUAAUAAUAAACAACUACCACUCGUGAAAGCUAGGACACAAACUAAGAUUAGAUACCUUACUAUGCCUAGCCAUAACACAACAAUUAAAUUACCAAUUGUUCGCCAAAUAACUACGAGUAAGAACUUAAAAUUUAAAAGACUUGACGGUACCUCAAAACAACCUAGAGGAGCCUGUCCAAUAACCGAUACCCCACGAUCAACCCAACCCACUCUAGCCCACAGUCUAUAUACCGCCGUCGCCAGCCUACCUUGUGAAAGAAACAAAGUAAGCCAAAUAGCUAUACACUAACACGACAGGUCGAGGUGUAACUUAUGAGUGGGAAAAGAUGGGCUACAUUUUCUAAUACAGAAAACACGAAUGAAUCCAUGAAACAAGAAACUGAAGGCGGAUUUAGCAGUACAGCGGGAACAACAUACCCUAUUGAAACUAGCGCAAUGAGGUGCGUACACACCGCCCGUCAUCCCUGUUAAUAAACCAAUAACAUACAUAAU